RNAcentral lists this ribosomal RNA (468 nucleotides) under uncultured bacterium. RNAcentral's name for it is "partial 16S ribosomal RNA". It matches the Rfam family "Bacterial small subunit ribosomal RNA", at positions 28 to 507 of the family's 1533-position model. The record is from RNAcentral.
GACGAACGCUGGCGGCGUGCUUAACACAUGCAAGUCGAACGGAAAGGCCCUGCUUUUGUGGGGUGCUCGAGUGGCGAACGGGUGAGUAACACGUGAGUAACCUGCCCUUGACUUUGGGAUAACUUCAGGAAACUGGGGCUAAUACCGGAUAGGAGCUCCUGCUGCAUGGUGGGGGUUGGAAAGUUUCGGCGGUUGGGGAUGGACUCGCGGCUUAUCAGCUUGUUGGUGGGGUAGUGGCUUACCAAGGCUUUGACGGGUAGCCGGCCUGAGAGGGUGACCGGCCACAUUGGGACUGAGAUACGGCCCAGACUCCUACGGGAGGCAGCAGUGGGGAAUAUUGCGCAAUGGGCGGAAGCCUGAUGCAGCAACGCCGCGUGCGGGAUGACGGCCUUCGGGGUGUAAACCGCUUUCGCCUGUGACGAAGCGUGAGUGACGGUAAUGGGUAAAGAAGCACCGGCUAACUACGUG